Molecule: small RNA, 756 nt
Filed under: Pongo abelii (Sumatran orangutan)
Lineage: Eukaryota; Metazoa; Chordata; Mammalia; Primates; Hominidae
Description: processed transcript
Source: RNAcentral
UCUCCCAGGAGUACAUCAACCUCCUGCUGUCCAUGUAUUUCUUCGUGCUGGGAAUCCUGGCCCUGUCCCACACCAUCAGCCCCUUCAUGAAUAAGUUUUUUCCAGCCAGCUUUCCAAAUCGACAGUACCAGCUGCUCUUCACACAGGGUUCUGGGGAAAACAAGGAAGAGAUCAUCAAUUAUGAAUUUGACACCAAGGACCUGGUGUGCCUGGGCCUGAGCAGCAUCGUUGGCGUCUGGUACCUGCUGAGGAAGGUAUUUGGCACCAAUGUGAUGGUGACAGUGGCCAAGUCCUUCGAGGCACCAAUAAAAUUGGUGUUUCCCCAGGAUCUGCUGGAGAAAGGCCUCGAAGCAAACAACUUUGCCAUGCUGGGACUUGGAGAUGUCGUCAUUCCAGGGAUCUUCAUUGCCUUGCUGCUGCGCUUUGACAUCAGCUUGAAGAAGAAUACCCACACCUACUUCUACACCAGCUUUGCAGCCUACAUCUUUGGCCUGGGCCUUACCAUCUUCAUCAUGCACAUCUUCAAGCAUGCUCAGCCUGCCCUCCUAUACCUGGUCCCCGCCUGCAUCGGUUUUCCUGUCCUGGUGGCGCUGGCCAAGGGAGAAGUGACAGAGAUGUUCAGCUACGAGUCCUCGGCGGAAAUCCUGCCUCAUACCCCGAGGCUCACCCACUUCCCCACAGUCUCGGGCUCCCCAGCCAGCCUGGCCGACUCCAUGCAGCAGAAGCUAGCUGGCCCUCGCCGCCGGCGCCCGCAGA